GACGAACGCUGGCGGCGUGCUUAACACAUGCAAGUCGAACGGAAAGGCCCUGCUUUUGUGCGGUGCUCGAGUGGCGAACGGGUGAGUAACACGUGAGUAACCUGCCCUUGACUUUGGGAUAACUUCAGGAAACUGGGGCUACUACCGGAUAGGAGCUCCUGCUGCAUGGUGGGGGUUGGAAAGUUUCGGCGGUUGGGGAUGGACUCGCGGCUUAUCAGCUUGUUGGUGGGGUAGUGGCUUACCAAGGGUUUGACGGGUAGCCGGCAUGAGAGGGUGACCGGCGACAUGGGGACUGAGAGACGGCCCAGACUCGAACGGGAGACAGCAGUGGGGAGUAUUGCACAAUGGGCGGAAGCCGGAUGCAGCAGCGCCGCGGGCGGGAUGACGGCCUUCGGGGUGUGAACCGCUUUCGCCUAUGACGAAGCGUGAGUGACGGUAAUGGGUAAAGAAGCACCGGCUAACUACGUG
This 468-nucleotide ribosomal RNA is filed under the name uncultured bacterium. RNAcentral's name for it is "partial 16S ribosomal RNA". It matches the Rfam family "Bacterial small subunit ribosomal RNA", at positions 28 to 507 of the family's 1533-position model. The record is from RNAcentral.